This 329-nucleotide unclassified non-coding RNA is filed under the name plant metagenome. Its description in RNAcentral is "partial contains 5.8S ribosomal RNA, internal transcribed spacer 2, and large subunit ribosomal RNA". The stretch from base 1 to 105 matches the Rfam family "5.8S ribosomal RNA", at positions 50 to 154 of the family's 154-position model. The record is from RNAcentral.
GAAAUGCGAUAAGUAAUGUGAAUUGCAGAAUUCCGUGAAUCAUCGAAUCUUUGAACGCACAUUGCGCCCUCUGGUAUUCCGGGGGGCAUGCCUGUCCGAGCGUCAUUGCGAACCCCUCAAGCACGGCUUGUGUGAUGGGCCCUCCCGCGUCUUGGUCGUCAAGACGGGCCCGAAAUGCAGUGGUGGCUUCGCGGUUAUCCGAUCAGCCAGAGCGUAUGGGGACUUUCUCUCUGUCACACGCCCGCGGCGCGGACCGACGCCUGUCGACCUUUAUUCAUCUUUUUCUCGGUUGACCUCGGAUCAGGUAGGGAUACCCGCUGAACUUAAGC